UCUUCGGCAAUGGACGCAAGUCUGACCGAGCAACGCCGCGUGAGUGAAGAAGGUUUUCGGAUCGUAAAACUCUGUUGUAAGACAAGCCCCGUUGAUGAGAGUGGAAAGUUCAUCAAGUGACGGUAUCUUACCAGAAAGCCACGGCUAACUACGUGCCACCAGCCGCGGUAAUACGUAGGUGGCAAGCGUUGUCCGGAUUUAUUGGGCGUAAAGCGAGCGCAGGCGGUUGAUUAAGUUUGAUGUGAAAGCCCCCGGCUCAACCGGGGAGGGUCAUUGGAAACUGGUCAACUUGAGUGCAGAAGAGGAGAGUGGAAUUCCAUGUGUAGCGGUGAAAUGGGUAGAUAUAUGGAGGAACACCAGUGGCGAAGGCGGCUCUCUGUCUGUAACUGACGCUGAGGCCGAA
Molecule: ribosomal RNA, 403 nt
Filed under: uncultured bacterium
Lineage: Bacteria
Description: bacterial SSU rRNA
Rfam family: Bacterial small subunit ribosomal RNA
Source: RNAcentral